This is an RNA transcript of Corvus hawaiiensis (hawaiian crow), 8542 nucleotides long. It is a transcript of the gene named transmembrane protein 39A, with no coding region annotated. Lineage: Eukaryota; Metazoa; Chordata; Aves; Passeriformes; Corvidae. The record is from RefSeq and is a predicted model, not a curated record. The transcript is spliced from 9 exons.
CUUGGGAAGGCUUUUGGAUCGUUGUCUGGGUGUUGGGGCACAGCCUGCUGGAGGCACUGGCAGUGGACUGGUUCCUGGUCAUGCCCGGUGGAAGGAGGGGACCCAGCCGGCAGCAGCUAAGCCGUUCAGCUUUGCCUUCUCUCCAGACUCUGGUCGGUGGGAGCUGUGGAAACGGUACUGGUUUGAGGAACAGGAAUGGUAGUGCCAUCAGCCUCUCAGCGCCUCCGAUCACAGCACUGAUUACUCCGGAGCCUGUGCGUCACUGCCGGAUCCCUGAACUGCCAUUGGAUGGGAGUCUUCUCUUUGAAUUCUUGUUCUUCAUCUACCUUCUGGUAGCCCUCUUCAUUCAGUACAUCAACAUCUACAAGACUGUCUGGUGGUACCCAUACAACCACCCUGCUUCCUGCACCUCACUGAAUUUUCACCUCAUUGACUACCACCUGGCGGCGUUCAUCACAGUGAUGCUGGCACGGAGGCUGGUGUGGGCCCUUAUCUCUGAGGCCUCUCAGGUGGGUGCAACAUCGGCGAUUCACUACAUGGUGCGCCUGGUGCUGCUCACCCUCUGUGGAUGGGUGCUCUGCUGGACUCUGGUCAACCUCUUCCGCAGCCAUUCUGUUCUCAACCUUCUCUUCCUGGGCUACCCGUUUGGUGUCUACGUCCCUCUGUGCUGCUUCCACCAGGACAGCAGAGCACAGCCUCUACCUGCAGACUGUGGUUACUUGGUACAGGACCAGGUGGCGGAUGAUGGGGCUUCAGCUGUCAGCAGCCUGGUCAAAGACUUCUUCUCGCUUCUGUGGGAAUCCCUGAGAGAACAGUUCAAUAAUCCUACAUCUAUCCCCACCCACAGCUGCCCCCUUUCCCCAGAUCUCAUCCGCAAUGAGGUGGAGUGCCUAAAAGCAGACUUCAACCGCAGGAUCAAGGAAGUUCUCUUCAACUCUCUCUUCAGUGCCUACUACGUGGCAUUCCUGCCACUGUGCUUUGUGAAGAGCACCCAGUACUACGACAUGCGCUGGUCCUGCGAGCACCUCAUCAUGGUGUGGAUCAAUGCCUUUGUCAUGCUCACCACACAGCUGCUGCCUCCCAAGUACUGUGACCUGCUCCACAGGUCUGCCGCCCACCUCGGCAAGUGGCAGAAACUAGAACAUGGCUCCUACAGCAAUGCUCCACAGCACAUCUGGUCAGAAAACACAAUAUGGCCACAGGGAGUUCUGGUGCGACGCAGCCGGUGCCUGUAUAAAGCAGUUGGGCCUUACAACGUAGCAGUGCCUUCAGACGUGUCCCAUGCCCGCUUUUAUUUCCUUUUUCACCGUCCAUUACGGCUGCUCAACCUGCUGAUUCUUAUCGAAGGCAGUGUGGUCUGCUACCAGCUCUACUCCCUGCUGCGCUCAGAGAAGUGGAACCACACCCUCUCCAUGGCCCUCAUCCUUUUCUGCAACUAUUAUGUCUUAUUUAAGCUCCUCCGGGACCGGAUAGUAUUAGGCAGGGCAUACUCCUACCCACUUAACAACUACGGACUCAAGGCACACUAGGCCGGCCAGAUGUGUACCCCUUCUCCUCCUCUUCCCCCAGGGCAGGGAGGGAACCUCAGAAAAAAAAUAUUUUCGUACAGUUCUAUUUUUUUCUUGCGACGUUUAUAAAUAUUUAAAAUAUUUUAUAUUUUGUAUACUAUUGUUUUUGUGGGGCGGGAAGGGGACCAGUGGCAAUUAAAUGUCGCUUUAUAAACAAGGUGUUAUUUUAUAUAUAUAUAUAAAAAAACCCCAUCCAUGUGUAUAUACCAUAUAUCUAUACCCAUACAUAUAUCUAUGUGAAGCAACAGGAUUGUGUGUGUGGUCACUGUGUCUGCUUUGCUCACAGAACUGCUGUUAAUUAGGAACUGGGCUGCUGUAGAAUUUGGAUAAACUAACAGCCAGGGGGCAAAAAAGGAAACACAGGGGCCUUUCACCAGGAUGAGUAAAGUUUAUUUUAAUGACCUCAGUACCAGGAAAGUCUUGCACUGGAAAUGUGCAUUGAUGAGAUAUGUUUGGGCAAAGGGAGGAAGCAGUGUGUGAAAAGAGAGGCUGAGUUACUGUCAGUCAGUAAAAACUCAGUUCUUUCUUCUUCCCACUGUUAGGAGGAUGCAGGUAUUUUUAAAAAAUAACUAUUUACUUUAGCCUCUCUCCUCCUAGCAACCUGAGCUCCCUCACCAUGCCCAGAGAAUGAACUAAAUAUUGAAAUUAUAAUUUUAGGGUAGUGUAGCAUUUAGGAAGGGAUUUGAAAUAAACAGCUUUAUCUCACAGGAUGGUAAUUGAAUAUUUUAGACACUCAUCUCUAAUUCUUUGAGUAAUACCAUUGAAUUAGGAAAUAUUCAGCUAUUUCCUUCAAGCAGUAAUGUUCCUAGCUAAAAUUUAUUCUUGUGAAACACUUACCAACUCCCUGAUUGCUAAGCAGUGCAUUUCAGCCAUUUCAUUCUAAUGUAUGUUGGUAGUGUUAAUAACUUAUCAUUAAUAAUAGAGGAAAUACUUUGCUUUGAGACUGUUCUUCCUAAAGCUGAACUAUACUAGACUAGUGAAAAAACAGUUGUGGUGGUAUCCCACAGAGGAAUUAAACAUAAAAAGCAGUAUCAACCAUAUAAUUAACUGUGCCAUGCUGGUGGGUGACAGUUGAUGGUAGGAGUUGAUGUUGUAACUCAGGUAAUUAAGCAGGGACAGCAAUGCAAUGUUCUUGCAUUCAGAUGCCAUCUGACAACUAAAGUGCUAGCUCUGGUUAAGGAGUAUCUAGGUGUGGGAAAAAAAGCCCCAAAACUGUACUGAGUUUGGGAGAAACUGCAACUUUCCGUUUCUUCUUUCCUUCCAAGCUAUGUAAGAAUACAGUGAUCCCUGCUGUCUGUAGGACAGCUGCUCCAGCAGCCUGAUCACAAGUCCAGGAUGCCUGAUGAGGGAGGCAACAGGAGAUGCCUCUGAGCAUUAACCCCCAAAUGAACACAAAUGCUUAGGUUUAGUUAAUCCUAAAACUUUUCUUUCAUGUGGCCCUAAUGUUGCUGGCAGGACAAAGGUACUAGGGAAUUUACAGUCUGGAGCCUUUCAAUAAAACAACACCAUGGCUUAACAGCCAUGUCAUGCUUUAUGUAGUAAUCCAUAUCUAUCUUGAUUACUUUAGGAAGUACUUUAAAGAUAAGAGAAGAUUGGCUUCUUAUCUAGAGGCAGGCUCAUUGCUGCAUAUGGCUUUGUGCAACACCUUUCUUGCAUCCAGAUUCAAUUUUUGCAGUAGCUCAGAAGCAUUUCCUACAAAUUUCACCUGUUUCUAAUAGCUGGCUCUGCACCCCUUGAACAUUAUUUCAUAGCAUUAUCCAGUAGUUUCUUCCAUUUGGACACCUUGAUGAUAGUAGGCUUAUAUAUAAGCAACCAGCAGGAGAAAAGAGGCUCUCCAAGGCUUAGCUUGGGAAAUGGAGAUGUGCAGAAGAAAGCCAGAACACGGUACCAGGGCUUUGGGUCAGAGUCAAGGAGGGUUCAUGGUCUGGCUCUUCCUCCCCUUGCAUGCCAGGCUGAAGGUAGGCAGAACUCUGGGGCAGUGAGCACACCCAGAUGCUGUGCAGCCCUUGGGCUGACCUUGCACUGUUGGCUGCACGAAGGAGAGAGGCACAGCAACAUUUCCAUAGCUACAGGCUUCUUGGUUUGCACCCAGUGACUGAGUACAGGGCCAAAACAAACGCUGCCUAACUGCAGGUGUGUUAAGAUCCUCCUCCUCCUCCUGAGGGAGCUAGGCAUUAUUUGCUGCCUUUCACCUUCUGAAACAGUACCCGGAGGAGGAGGAGUUCCAUGAGAAGGUUAAAGGUCUAGAGGUUGUACCUUGCCAUAUACAGUUCUGUGAACUGCCUGCAUGCAGUCCUGUAGAUGCAACUGUCUUCCACCCAUACACAGGACCCCCUACAUGGGAAGAAAUUGUAGAAGAUAGUUGCAGUUCCCCCUGUUGGCAAAAACCCAACUAGCUAGUGCAGUUAGUCUCCCUAGUACAAACUGGACCAUCUACCAAGCUGGGAGAAGAAAUUAUGUCUGCUCAGCCUCAGUGCCUGAUUAGAUCUGUGGUUUGUCCCCAUUCCUCAAAUGGGCCUGCUACUAAGCCUUAUUCAGAUGAACACUGAAAACAAGUUCACUCUAAUACUUGGUCAGGUCAGACUAGGAAAAAACAGACUUAUUCCCCAUCUUGGUUGCUCCAUCAUGCGAGGAUGUCAUAAUAAAUGGAUGGCUUUUUGGUCUGCUCACGGAACUGCUCUAGCUUUAGGCCGACCCUCAGAAGAACAGCUUCAUCCCACCAUUUUGCCAUGACCUGGGAGAAGAUGAGAGGCAGAAGGAGAAGAAUGAAUAAAAAAAACUAGCAGCAUCACACAUAUAGAUGCUCUUUAAGCCUUGGAAACAAUUCCCUCCCUUACCCCCCCCCAACAGACAUGUCUUCCCCUUUUACCCCAGUAAGUAUAGCAUCACUAUUUGGGAUAAAGGCAGCUGUGUGACUUUCAGUUGCAAGACAUAGAUCUUUCCUUUAAAUGAGACCUGUUUCAAGAGUAAAGGAUUUAAAGAAGUUACAGAAAUGAGAAAUAAGAGAGGAAAGAGUAGUGACCAAUAGUGGGUAUUGAUGCAAGUAGACAGGGAGACAGAAAAAUCUUUCUCAAAAAUACCCAAAGAGAUCCUCUUCCAUUCAGGAGUGAGGCAAAUCACCCCCAAAUUAAAGCUUUUAUUUCCAGAACCUGCCAGCUCCUCAAGUGAGCUGUGUGGAAGAGCAAGGACCUGGUUGUGGUGCUUCAGGACAAAGCCAGCCAGGGAUUUUGUGCCCUAGCAUUCACAAAGACUCACCUGGAGGCUAAUCGGAAGCCCAGCAAUAGAAUAUCCAAUGGGGACCACAAGGCCUGGAAUCCCAGUGAAGUUACCAAGCUGCAUGAACCUAGGGGGAAAAAGGUGUCAUCAGUAUUCCUGGUGCCAGCAGCAAAUUCAUCCCUUUUUGGUAAAGGCAACUAUGAUUAAUCUCUCCCACCUUACAGUCUGAGGUUCUUCUUCUCCAGCUGUUCCCAAACUUUUGUUUCUGUAGUGCAAGUAGCACUUUCCUUACCUCAUGGACCGGACUGUGAAGGACAUAUCGCUGCUCCCAGUCAAGAGGUCAGAUUCAUAAAUUCUUGGGGCAGUGCAAGGAACAGCUGUGGAGGAAUCACAAAAUGACUGAACUUGAAAGGGACCUCAGAAGUCGUCUAACCUUCUGGCUCAGGAAUGGUCAGCUAGUGCAGGGUGCCCAUGACCAUGUCCAAAUAGCUUUUGAAUAUUGCCAGGGAUGAAGAUUCCACAGGCUCUUUGGUCAACCUGAUGCAGUGCCAUGGAUACAACCAAUAAAUCUAGAAAUACACAGCAGUCUUUCUAAACAGGCUGCAUUAUCUUCUAAAGGUGCAAGGCACAGCAAAGCGUUUGCACACAAGUCAUACUUAAAAUUGAGGAGGGAAAGCUAAUGAAGUGACUGUUCCUAAAAGGCACCACACAGCUGCUGAGGACUCGCUCUUUAGCCAAGAGUGCCAGUACCUGGUGUAAGGAUACAGUUCACAGUGCUGAAGAUCUCGUGCAAAAAUCUCAUGCUCCGAGUUCUCUGUCGAUUUGCCUGCAAGCAGAGAGAAUACUGUCUGAUGGGCCCUUUUGGCACACAAAAUUCAUGUCUGAUGCUGGCAAACUCUGCCCAUCAGCGUCUCUGCCUUUGCAAAAGACACCAUUCCCACAAUCUGGAAUCAGGAUACAGGACAGGUGGCACAUCUUCUGUGGUGCCCCACCAUCCAGCAUGCUUUCGUGGCAGAGGGCAGCUAGAGCUGGGUGACAUCUUCCCAUGGGUAUGGGGAAGCUAAGAGAAGCCCCUAUCCCACCUUUACAGUUCCACUAGGUGCCUCCCUUCAGCCCUCACCCCAGUAUGUUCCUUACCUUGAUAUAAUCCAGAGCUGUGAACUGGGAAGCCAAGGCCAGGCUAGCCCGCGUUUCCAAAUUCUGAAAUAAAAAACACUGAUCAAGGCUCUGCUUGCAGGAAACUGAACUGUGACAGUCCAGGAGCUCUUUUCCAGGUCUACUCUUCUGUAUCAGUAAUCAUCCAACAGGUAGUUUGUCACAGAAGAAGGAGGAGGACCUCAGGUUUCUCACUGACAUGACAUUUGUUCUGUAUCAGCCAGGACAACUACUGACACUACUCCUGCUGCUACUUACCAUUUCAUGGAAAUGUUUAUUGAAGUCAGGUUGCAGGAAGUCCCUCAUCUCACUGAGAAUGCAGAUCACAUGUGCCACUCGCGCCUCCUCCAUCUCUGGAAGAGAGACUUCAACCACACUGGCUCCCAAACUCUGCAGGUGCUUCACCGCUGUGUACAGGACAGGUAAAGCACAGACAGCAUCCCUGAGUUCACCAGACUUCACAGAAGGGCUGCAAAUCCCCAACCCCUGCAGAGUGAGAGACCCUGUAGGCCAUUGCAGGGCAAGCGUCUUCAGUGCACCACGUGGCAUGCACAGCUGCAGCUGCUUUUCCUAGGGAGAUGCUUUUAACCUAACUACAUCUCAGUAUUCCAACAGGGCAGGGGCUUGCAGACAGGUUCCUAACUUACCUGCUGUACUUCAGGCAAAUUCACCUCAUCUCUCUAGCUUCCCAGUUAAGCCAAAGAGUAAAAGGACUGACAAUGUUUCCCUGAGCACUUCACAUCACCAGUGUUCUGUCAGCAUGAAGUGAUUAUUUAGCAUCAUGAUAUUCCCAUUCAAAGCCUCUUCUGAACCAUAAUGAUAGAGGAACCAGGGGAUACCCAAGAGACCAGGUAAACAAGACAGGGCCACUAAAUCUUGAUGCACUUUAACAAGGCUGAACACCAAGACUUUGGGAAAGGUGACUCUUUUGAAGUCUGAAAAGAAUCCUCUUCUUUCUGUGACCCCAACUUCUUCGUAAAUACCCAAGCUUGCCUAUGGUCCACCUCUUCUAAGAAAAUGCUGUAAAUGUAUAAGUGUAUAAAGAGGGUGAAGAAAAUCCAGGCAAAGCCUGAAUACUGUGAACUAUCCCAGCUCCAAUGCAACUACUAUACCAGGCAUUGUAGAGGCAUACUCCCCCACCCCCAAGUACUCACCAGGGUCAAUUCUGCGUAGUCUAAACUCUGACAAAGGCACCCUAAAGGCACCACUCGGCUGAUUUCAAGGAAAUACCAGAGAACUCGAUACAUCACAAAGACCUAGCACUGUAUUACUACUGAGCAUUAUGUUGUGAAAUAAGGCCCUGCCUUAAAAGUCUUCUACCAUUAAAGCUUGCAGAGUAAGUAUUACCAAGCACAGAUCUGUCUUUAUACACACAGAAGCUGAGCACACUGGACUGCAUUCUUCCAUUGUAAUCUGACAAGCCUGCAACUGCUGAGCUUUUUAACCCUCAGCAGUCAGGGGGGCUUCCCCCAUACAAAGCUCCUGCUGUUUAUCCAGCCAGACCCCUUUAAGCAACUGCCUGUAAGGGCUUCAGGCAGGACCUAUUUAAUGCAUACAUAAGAGGAGCACCAAGUGACACCAUAACAUCAGGCACAAUAAAAGACUUACAGACUUUUUGUCUUUACCUUUCUCACAGGCAGACAGAACUUCAGCAUCACAUGCCUAAAGAAUAAGAAGAAAGAACCAAGCAGACUUUAGUAACUGCUCUCCUCCUCUUGGCACAGGUUGCCUCCCCUGUGAGAGGUCCCUGAAGUGGAGCACAAGUCCUCUUACCUACGCUGACUGUGGAGUAGGAGAGUGGCAAGCUGCCAUGACAACUGAUGCGCCCAAAUGUACCUGGAGAACAAGAACUGGGACUUAGCUGGGUAUCAGCAGCUGCUGGGAAGAGCCAUCUACAUGCUCUGGUGCACCCACGGUAAACAACAAACCCCUGCCAGUCACUUUGAUGUCUGCUGUUUCAGAGCCCAGUCUCUCAUCCUUCAGUACUCUGUUCUGCUGACCACUGUCUGUCUCAUCAGUGAAACACAUGCAUUCAAUGAAUAGUGCAAUUUCACCCCUAAGAAAUUAUUUAGUUGAAGGGAAAUAUGUGCAGGGACAUUUUGGAACAUUUGUAUUUAAAUAUGCAAAAGCAGCAUUUAUGGUGUGGAGGAUGGAGAGGCAGGAGCAGAGUAUCAACUGCAGGAGACAGCACCCCAUGGGAGGUCUCACCCACUUCACCAGUGAGACUUCAUGCCUAACACCAGCUGUCUUCUGCAAGUACUCAUAUCACCUUUCUGGCCAGUUACAUUUUGUCAUCAUCACUAUCUUCCUCAGAUGAAACAAGAUUUGUCAAGUUGACCACAUGUGAAGGAUGGAAAGAGAGUAAUGGCUGAGUAUCUGGUCUCAGAUGAAAGGUAGAAGGAAAAGGGUAGAAAGGAAAAGCAGCACGCAUAUUUUGUUUAGCAUUUAAUGUAAGUUAAGUUAGGUUUUUUGAACAUCUGUUCAACAGACAGUAGAGAAUACUUCCAUGCUGCCAGUCUAACCCACAUGACUCUCAGGGUAUUAUAUUUCAGAGUUUCUCUGGUCAAAUUUUACUUCACAGGAAUUAAUAAACAAGUGCCUGA